This 253-nucleotide ribosomal RNA is filed under the name uncultured bacterium. RNAcentral describes it as "partial 16S ribosomal RNA". It matches the Rfam family "Bacterial small subunit ribosomal RNA", at positions 524 to 776 of the family's 1533-position model. The record is from RNAcentral.
UACGUAGGGGGCAAGCGUUGUCCGGAAUCAUUGGGCGUAAAGAGCGCGUAGGCGGCCCGAUAAGUCCGCUGUGAAAGUCAAGGGCUCAACCCUUGAAUGCCGGUGGAUACUGUCGGGCUAGAGUCCGGAAGAGGCGAGUGGAAUUCUUGGUGUAGCGGUGAAAUGCGCAGAUAUCAGGAGGAACACCAAUGGCGAAGGCAGCUCGCUGGGACGGUACUGACGCUGAGGCGCGAAAGCGUGGGGAGCAAACAGG